RNAcentral lists this ribosomal RNA (497 nucleotides) under uncultured bacterium. RNAcentral describes it as "partial 16S ribosomal RNA". It matches the Rfam family "Bacterial small subunit ribosomal RNA", at positions 28 to 507 of the family's 1533-position model. The record is from RNAcentral.
GAUGAACGCUGGCGGCGUGCCUAAUACAUGCCAGUCGAGCGAACGGACGAGAAGCUUGCUUCUCUGAUGUUAGCGGCGGACGGGUGAGUAACACGUGGAUAACCUACCUAUAAGACUGGGAUAAUUUCGGGAAACCGGAGCUAAUACCGGAUAAUAUUUUGAACCGCAUGGUUCAAAAGUGAAAGACGGUCUUGCUGUCACUUAUAGAUGGAUCCGCGCUGCAUUAGCUAGUUGGUAAGGUAACGGCUUACCAAGGCAACGAUGCAUAGCCGACCUGAGAGGGUGAUCGGCCACACUGGAACUGAGACACGGUCCAGACUCCUACGGGAGGCAGCAGUAGGGAAUCUUCCGCAAUGGGCGAAAGCCUGACGGAGCAACGCCGCGUGAGUGAUGAAGGUCUUCGGAUCGUAAAACUCUGUUAUUAGGGAAGAACAUAUGUGUAAGUAACUGUGCACAUCUUGACGGUACCUAAUCAGAAAGCCACGGCUAACUACGUG